Dicentrarchus labrax (European seabass) is the source of this 1092-nucleotide long non-coding RNA. RefSeq lists it as uncharacterized. Lineage: Eukaryota; Metazoa; Chordata; Actinopteri; Moronidae. The record is from RefSeq and is a predicted model, not a curated record. The transcript is spliced from 2 exons.
GUUAUCAGAUCGCUCGCAGUUUGUACAUGUUAACGAUGAAUCUUCAAUAAAUACUACAGUUAGUCAUGGAGUUCCACAAGGUUCUGUACUUGGACCAAUACUAUUUACUUUAUAUAUGCUCCCUUUAGGCAACAUUAUUAGGAAUCACUCCAUUAACUUUCACUGUUAUGCAGAUGAUACGCAGUUAUAUCUAUCAAUCAAGCCCGAUGAAAUUAAUCAAUUAUCUAAAUUACAAACAUGUCUUAAGGACAUAAAAUCCUGGAUGAGCUGCAAUUUUCUGAUGUUAAACUCAGAAAAAAACGAAAUUCUUGUUCUUGGCCCCAAAAACCUUAGAGACUCACUGUCUAAAGAUAUAGUUACUCUAGAUGGCAUUACCUUGGCCUCUAGCACCACUGUCAGGAAUCUUGGAGUUAUCUUUGAUCAGGAUUUGUCAUUUAACUCCCACAUAAAGCAGACCUCUAGGACUGCCUUCUUUCAUUUACGUAAUAUUACAAAAAUUAGACACAUACUAUCACAGACAGAUGCAGAAAAACUAAUCCAUGCAUUUGUGACUUCAAGGCUGGAUUACUGCAACUCUUUAUUAUCAGGUUGCCCCAAUAAGUCCAUUAAAACGCUCCAAUUAAUUCAGAACGCUGCAGCACGAGUACUGACAAGAACUAGAAAAAGAGAUCACAUCUCUCCUGUACUAGCUUCUCUGCAUUGGCUCCCUGUAAAAUGUAGAAUAGAAUUUAAAAUCCUCCUCCUCACCUAUAAAGCUCUUCAUGGUGAGGAGGAGUAUUUUAAAUUCAAUUCUACAUUUUAUAGGGAGCCAAUGCAGAGUAGCUAGUACAGGAGAGAUGUGAUCUCUUUUUCUAGUUCCUGUCAGUACUUGUGCUGCAGCGUUCUGAAUUAAUUGGAGCGUUUUAAUGGACUUAUUGGGGCAACCUGAUAAUAAAGAGUUGCAGUAAUCCAGCCUUGAAGUAACAAAUGCAUGGAUUAGUUUUUCUGCAUCUGUCUGUGAUAGUAUGUGUCUAAUUUUUCUAAUAUUACGUAAAUGAAAGAAGGCAGUCCUAGAGGUCUGCUUUAUGUGGGAGUUAAAUGACAAAUCCUGAU